CUAGAACCAAAGGGAGACACUAAACCUCUCUGCAAACUCUUUGUACGUUCCCAUCUGUGACUUCAUAAAUAUUUGAUGCAGUGGCCAGUCAACAUCCCUACAUUAGUGAAACUUCUGCCCAGGAGCAACUGCACAGCUCUCAGCGAUGAGAUCGGACCCAGGAGGCAAAUGCAGCAUGACUCACUCCCUCCGUUGCCCUUGGUUAAACAGCCGUGAAUAUCUAAAGUCUACCAACUGGAACUCAAAGAAAGCAAGAAAACAGAUGCUCAGCACUCCUGGGACAUAAUACUUUAUUAUGCAAGAGUCUAUAGCAUUCAUGACAUCUGAGAGGAAGGAUUUGACAAGUUAAUUAAUUUGUCUUUUCUCUUACCUAAAUGCUUCCAUGGC
This 387-nucleotide long non-coding RNA is filed under the name Equus caballus (horse). Its description in RNAcentral is "lncRNA (ENSECAG00000036536.3)". The record is from RNAcentral. Lineage: Eukaryota; Metazoa; Chordata; Mammalia; Perissodactyla; Equidae.